Acanthosepion pharaonis is the source of this 95-nucleotide non-coding RNA. Lineage: Eukaryota; Metazoa; Mollusca; Cephalopoda; Sepiida; Sepiidae. The record is from the annotation of a GenBank genome assembly.
CAUUGAAACAACGGUUUCCUUACGGUCACCGAAGUUAAACAAUGUCGAGCCUGGUUAGCACUUAGAUGGGUGACAUCUUGGGAAUACCUAGUGCU